AUUGAACGCUGGCGGCAGGCCUAACACAUGCAAGUCGAACGGUAACAGGAAGAUGCUUGCUUCUUUGCUGACGAGUGGCGGACGGGUGAGAACUGUCUGGGAAACUGCCUGAUGGAGGGGGAGAACUACUGGAAACGGUAGCUAAUACCGCAUAACGGCGCAAGACCAAAGAGGGGGACCUUCGGGCCUCUUGCCAUCGGAGGUGCCCAGGUGGGAUUAGCUAGUAGGUGGGGUAACGGCUCACCUAGGCGACGAUCCGUAGCUGGUCUGAGAGGAGGACCAGCCACACUGGAACUGAGACACGGUCCAGACUCCUACGGGAGGCAGCAGUGGGGAAUAUUGGACAAUGGGGGCAAGCCUGAUGCAGCCAUGCCGCGUGUAUGAAGAAGGCCUUCGGGUUGUAAAGUGCUUUUGGCGGGGAGGAAGGCAUUUAAGCUAAUACCCCGGCUCAUUGACGUUACCGGAAGAAGAAGCACCGGCUAACUACGUG
RNAcentral lists this ribosomal RNA (490 nucleotides) under uncultured bacterium. RNAcentral describes it as "partial 16S ribosomal RNA". It matches the Rfam family "Bacterial small subunit ribosomal RNA", at positions 29 to 507 of the family's 1533-position model. The record is from RNAcentral.